Molecule: unclassified non-coding RNA, 1891 nt
Filed under: Hevea brasiliensis (rubber tree)
Lineage: Eukaryota; Viridiplantae; Streptophyta; Magnoliopsida; Malpighiales; Euphorbiaceae
Source: RNAcentral
AGAAAAAUUGCAGCUAUCUGGCUUUGUGUCUCCACAAGUCAGUGGUAUGAGCAGCUUUAUUGAUAAAUCUGCUGAUGGCAUUCCUUUGUACUAUUUUAAGGAGGAUAACAAGAGACCAGCUGGCACUGGUGUAGCAGCCUCUGAUUCCUCAUUUCCAUAUACAUCAUUUGGAUUUGGUUCUUCAUCCUUGCCUUGGAUUGAUCCUGUGAACAAAUCAUUUAACUUGGCUAAUUCAGUUCCAGCACCUAAGCUUGUGUCAGGUUCAAUAAGCAUUGGCAAUAGCUCCACACUGUUGCGUAGAGUUGUACAUGAAGUGGAAGACAGGGAAGCUGAUCAAACAGCAUAUGUGAGUAACAAAUUUCAGGACAUUGGAUCUGGUACAUCUAAAAUGGGUUCCCUAACAAUGGAAGACAACACAGCCGCAACAGAUAGAACUGAUUUGUCAUCUUUUGCCAGAACAUCCAUGAUUACAGAUUCAGGAUGGAGGCCUCGUGGGGUUUUGGUUGCUCAUCUCCAAGAGCACCGUUCUGCUGUUAAUGAUAUAUCCAUUUCAGCAGACCACAGCUUUUUUGUUAGUGCAUCUGACGAUUCUACUGUUAAGGUUUGGGAUUCGAAAAAGCUAGAGAAGGAUAUCUCAUUCAGGUCAAGGUUAACUUAUUCUUUAGAAGGAAGCCGAGCUUUAUGUGUUACAGUGCUUCAAGGUUCUGCUCAAGUUGUUGUUGGAGCAUGUGAUGGAACAAUACAUAUGUUCUCGGUUGAUUAUAUCUCCCGAGGACUCGGUAAUGUUGUCGAGAAGUACUCUGGUAUUGCUGAUGUGAAGAAGAAUGAAGUGGGAGAGGGUGCUGUUGCAAGCCUUUUGAACUACUGUUCAGAUGGUGGUGCCUCAAAAAUGAUUUUGUACAGCACUCAGAAUUGUGGGCUCCAUCUGUUGGACACAAGAACAAAUUCACAUGCCUGGAACACCAAAGUUUAUCCCAAAGAGGGCUAUAUAUCAUCUCUAGUUGCAGGGCCUUGUGGAAAUUGGUUUGUAUCAGGUUCCUCAAGAGGUGUACUUACACUUUGGGAUUUGAGGUUUUGCAUACCGGUGAACACAUGGCAAUAUUCUCUUGCCUGCCCAAUUGAGAGAAUGUCUCUUUUUCUUCCUCCUCCUAGUACAUCAUUGUCUGUAGCAGCAAGGCCCCUUGUUUAUGUUGCCGCAGGGUGUAAUGAAGUUUCUCUCUGGAAUGCAGAGAACGGGAGCUGCCACCAGGUUUUGAGGGUAGCAAACAAUGAGAAUGAGGCUGAGAACUCCGACUUACCUUGGGCUUUAGCGAAGCCAUCAAAUAAGGCUAAUCCUAAACAAGAUCUAAGAAGAAAUAAUGGUUCAAAGUACCGAGUUGAUGAAUUGAGUGAUCCGCCUCCUCGCCUUUCUGGAAUUCGUGCUUUGCUUCCAUUACCUGGUGGUGAUUUGUUAACAGGGGGUACUGACUUAAAAAUACGUCGCUGGGACCAUUGCAGCCCGGAACGAAGUUAUUGCGUUUGCGGACCAUCUAUAAAGGGGGUUGUUAAUGAUGACUUUUAUGAGACAAAAUCCAGCUUUGGCGUACAAAUAGUGCAGGAGGCGAAGAGGCGACCUUUGGCCACCAGACAGACAGCAAAGGCAAUCCUCGGAGCUGCUGCCGUCGAUGCAGCUGGGUGUCACCGUGAUUGUAUUCUCUCUUUGGCUUCUGUCAAAUUGAAUCAGAGACUUCUGCUAUCAGGUAGCAGAGACGGAGCUGUUAAGGUUUGGAAGUAAAGUAACCUUGAGAUACUUGUAUAUAUAUUAUUGUGUAUAUAUUCAGAGUAUAUGUAGCCUCUUUACUAUUUAAAAAUAUUAAUUAAAAUGUACAGAACAUGGCUUCUCUUGUGUUUU